RNAcentral lists this ribosomal RNA (197 nucleotides) under uncultured bacterium. RNAcentral's name for it is "partial 16S ribosomal RNA". It matches the Rfam family "Bacterial small subunit ribosomal RNA", at positions 328 to 539 of the family's 1533-position model. The record is from RNAcentral.
ACGCUCGACACCUACGGAGGCAGCAGUGGGGAAUAUUGCACAACGGGGGAAACCCUGAUGCAGCGACGCCGCGUGAGUGAAGAAGUAUUUCGGUAUGUAAAGCUCUAUCAGCAGGGAAGAAGAUGACGGUACCUGAGUAAGAAGCCCCGGCUAACUACGUGCCAGCAGCCGCGGUAAUCUGAGCGGGCUGGCAAGGC